CCGCACAAGCGGUGGAGCAUGUGGUUUAAUUCGAUGCAACGCGAAGAACCUUACCUACACUUGACAUGCAGAGAACUUUCCAGAGAUGGAUUGGUGCCUUCGGGAACUCUGACACAGGUGCUGCAUGGCUGUCGUCAGCUCGUGUUGUGAAAUGUUGGGUUAAGUCCCGUAACGAGCGCAACCCUUAUCCUUAUUUGCCAGCACUUCGGGUGGGAACUCUAAGGAGACUGCCGGUGACAAACCGGAGGAAGGAGAGGAUGAUGUCAAGUCAUCAUGGCCCUUACGGCCUGGGCUACACACGUGCUACAAUGGGCAGUACAGAGGGCCGCAAACCCGCGAGGGGGAGCAAAUCCCAAAAAACUGUUCGUAGUCCGGAUCGGAGUCUGCAACUCGACUCCGUGAAGUCGGAAUCGCUAGUAAUCGCGAAUCAGCAUGUCGCGGUGAAUACGUUCCCGGGCCUUGUACACACCGCCCGUCAC
Molecule: ribosomal RNA, 479 nt
Filed under: Scrippsiella trochoidea
Lineage: Eukaryota; Dinophyceae; Peridiniales; Peridiniaceae
Description: partial Bacterial small subunit ribosomal RNA
Rfam family: Bacterial small subunit ribosomal RNA
Source: RNAcentral